GCGGUGCCACCGCCCAAUCGCCGUACGGCGAGCCGGGGAACCAGGUUUCUGGGGUGAAGCCGCGCGAGCGGCCGGGGCAACUUCCGUCCCGAAUCCGUCAGCUAACCCGGUCGGCGGUCGAGGGAAGGGAA
Molecule: small RNA, 131 nt
Filed under: Micromonospora siamensis
Lineage: Bacteria; Bacillati; Actinomycetota; Actinomycetes; Micromonosporales; Micromonosporaceae
Description: c-di-AMP sequence
Rfam family: c-di-AMP riboswitch aptamer (ydaO/yuaA leader)
About the family: This family represents a conserved RNA structure found upstream of the ydaO and yuaA genes in Bacillus subtilis and related genes in other bacteria. The ydaO/yuaA element is thought to act as a genetic "off" switch for the ydaO and yuaA genes in its native state.
Source: Rfam by way of RNAcentral